This 253-nucleotide ribosomal RNA is filed under the name uncultured bacterium. RNAcentral's name for it is "partial 16S ribosomal RNA". It matches the Rfam family "Bacterial small subunit ribosomal RNA", at positions 524 to 776 of the family's 1533-position model. The record is from RNAcentral.
UACGAAGGGGGCUAGCGUUGUUCGGAUUUACUGGGCGUAAAGCGCGUGUAGGCGGGUCGUUAAGUUGGGGGUGAAAUCCCGAGGCUCAACCUCGGAACUGCCUUCAAAACUGGCGACCUGGACCUAAGUAGGGGCAAGUGGAAUUGCGAGUGUAGAGGUGAAAUUCGUAGAUAUUCGCAGGAACACCAGUGGCGAAGGCGACUUGCUGGACUUAUGGUGACGCUGAGACGCGAAAGCGUGGGGAGCAAACAGG